UAAGUUAGAAAGGGCGCACGGUGGAUGCCUUGACACUAGGAGUCGAUGAAGGACGGGACUAACGCCGAUAUGCUUCGGGGAGCUGUAAGUAAGCUUUGAUCCGAAGAUUUCCGAAUGGGGAAACCCACCAUACGUAAUGGUAUGGUAUCCUUAUCUGAAUACAUAGGGUAAGGAAGACAGACCCAGGGAACUGAAACAUCUAAGUACCUGGAGGAAGAGAAAGCAAAUGCGAUUUCCUGAGUAGCGGCGAGCGAAACGGAACAUAGCCCAAACCAAGAGGCUUGCCUCUUGGGGUUGUAGGACAUUCUAUACGGAGUUACAAAGGAACGAGGUAGACGAAGCGACCUGGAAAGGUCCGUCGUAGAGGGUAACAACCCCGUAGUCGAAACUUCGUUCUCUCUUGAAUGUAUCCUGAGUACGGCGGAACACGUGAAAUUCCGUCGGAAUCUGGGAGGACCAUCUCCCAAGGCUAAAUACUCCCUAGUGAUCGAUAGUGAACCAGUACCGUGAGGGAAAGGUGAAAAGCACCCCGGAAGGGGAGUGAAAGAGAUCCUGAAACCGUGUGCCUACAAAUAGUCAGAGCCCGUUAACGGGUGAUGGCGUGCCUUUUGUAGAAUGAGCCGGCGAGUUACGAUCCCGUGCGAGGUUAAGCUGAAGAGGCGGAGCCGCAGCGAAAGCGAGUCUGAAUAGGGCGUUUAGUACGUGGUCGUAGACCCGAAACCAGGUGAUCUACCCAUGUCCAGGGUGAAGUUCAGGUAACACUGAAUGGAGGCCCGAACCCACGCACGUUGAAAAGUGCGGGGAUGAGGUGUGGGUAGCGGAGAAAUUCCAAUCGAACCUGGAGAUAGCUGGUUCUCCCCGAAAUAGCUUUAGGGCUAGCCUUAAGUGUAAGAGUCUUGGAGGUAGAGCACUGAUUGGACUAGGGGUCCUCAUCGGAUUACCGAAUUCAGUCAAACUCCGAAUGCCAAUGACUUAUCCUUAGGAGUCAGACUGCGAGUGAUAAGAUCCGUAGUCAAAAGGGAAACAGCCCAGACCGCCAGCUAAGGUCCCAAAGUGUGUAUUAAGUGGAAAAGGAUGUGGAGUUGCUUAGACAACUAGGAUGUUGGCUUAGAAGCAGCCACCAUUUAAAGAGUGCGUAAUAGCUCACUAGUCGAGUGACUCUGCGCCGAAAAUGUACCGGGGCUAAAUACACCACCGAAGCUGCGGAUUGAUACCAAUGGUAUCAGUGGUAGGGGAGCGUUCUAAGGACAGUGAAGUCAGACCGGAAGGACUGGUGGAGUGCUUAGAAGUGAGAAUGCCGGUAUGAGUAGCGAAAGACGGGUGAGAAUCCCGUCCACCGAAUGCCUAAGGUUUCCUGAGGAAGGCUCGUCCGCUCAGGGUUAGUCAGGACCUAAGCCGAGGCCGACAGGCGUAGGCGAUGGACAACAGGUUGAUAUUCCUGUACCACCUCUUUAUCGUUUGAGCAAUGGAGGGACGCAGAAGGAUAGAAGAAGCGUGCGAUUGGUUGUGCACGUCCAAGCAGUUAGGCUGAUAAGUAGGCAAAUCCGCUUAUCGUAAAGGCUGAGCUGUGAUGGGGAAGCUCCUUAUGGAGCGAAGUCUUUGAUUCCCCGCUGCCAAGAAAAGCUUCUAGCGAGAUAAAAGGUGCCUGUACCGCAAACCGACACAGGUAGGCGAGGAGAGAAUCCUAAGGUGUGCGAGAGAACUCUGGUUAAGGAACUCGGCAAAAUGACCCCGUAACUUCGGGAGAAGGGGUGCUUUCUUAACGGAAAGCCGCAGUGAAUAGGCCCAAGCGACUGUUUAGCAAAAACACAGCUCUCUGCGAAGCCGUAAGGCGAAGUAUAGGGGGUGACACCUGCCCGGUGCUGGAAGGUUAAGGAGAGGGGUUAGCGUAAGCGAAGCUCUGAACUGAAGCCCCAGUAAACGGCGGCCGUAACUAUAACGGUCCUAAGGUAGCGAAAUUCCUUGUCGGGUAAGUUCCGACCCGCACGAAAGGUGUAACGAUUUGGGCACUGUCUCAACCAGAGACUCGGUGAAAUUAUAGUACCUGUGAAGAUGCAGGUUACCCGCGACAGGACGGAAAGACCCCGUGGAGCUUUACUGUAGCCUGAUAUUGAAUUUUGGUACAGUUUGUACAGGAUAGGCGGGAGCCUUUGAAACCGGAGCGCUAGCUUCGGUGGAGGCGCUGGUGGGAUACCGCCCUGACUGUAUUGAAAUUCUAACCUACGGGUCUUAUCGACCCGAGAGACAGUGUCAGGUGGGCAGUUUGACUGGGGCGGUCGCCUCCUAAAGUGUAACGGAGGCGCCCAAAGGUUCCCUCAGAAUGGUUGGAAAUCAUUCGUAGAGUGCAAAGGCAUAAGGGAGCUUGACUGCGAGACCUACAAGUCGAGCAGGGACGAAAGUCGGGCUUAGUGAUCCGGUGGUUCCGCAUGGAAGGGCCAUCGCUCAACGGAUAAAAGCUACCCCGGGGAUAACAGGCUUAUCUCCCCCAAGAGUCCACAUCGACGGGGAGGUUUGGCACCUCGAUGUCGGCUCAUCGCAUCCUGGGGCUGUAGUCGGUCCCAAGGGUUGGGCUGUUCGCCCAUUAAAGCGGUACGCGAGCUGGGUUCAGAACGUCGUGAGACAGUUCGGUCCCUAUCCGUCGUGGGCGUAGGAAAUUUGAGAGGAGCUGUCCUUAGUACGAGAGGACCGGGAUGGACGCACCGCUGGUGUACCAGUUGUUCUGCCAAGGGCAUAGCUGGGUAGCUAUGUGCGGAAGGGAUAAGUGCUGAAAGCAUCUAAGCAUGAAGCCCCCCUCAAGAUGAGAUUUCCCAUAGCGUAAGCUAGUAAGAUCCCUGAAAGAUGAUCAGGUUGAUAGGUUCGAGGUGGAAGCAUGGUGACAUGUGGAGCUGACGAAUACUAAUAGAUCGAGGACUUAACCA
RNAcentral lists this ribosomal RNA (2918 nucleotides) under Bacillus cereus. Its description in RNAcentral is "bacterial LSU rRNA". It matches the Rfam family "Bacterial large subunit ribosomal RNA". The record is from RNAcentral. Lineage: Bacteria; Bacillati; Bacillota; Bacilli; Caryophanales; Bacillaceae.